RNAcentral lists this ribosomal RNA (497 nucleotides) under uncultured bacterium. RNAcentral's name for it is "partial 16S ribosomal RNA". It matches the Rfam family "Bacterial small subunit ribosomal RNA", at positions 28 to 507 of the family's 1533-position model. The record is from RNAcentral.
GAUGAACGCUGGCGGCGUGCCUAAUACAUGCAAGUCGAGCGAACAGACGAGGAGCUUGCUCCUCUGACGUUAGCGGCGGACGGGUGAGUAACACGUGGAUAACCUACCUAUAAGACUGGGAUAACUUCGGGAAACCGGAGCUAAUACCGGAUAAUAUACUGAACCGCAUGGUUCAAUAGUGAAAGACGGUUUUGCUGUCACUUAUAGAUGGAUCCGCGCCGCAUUAGCUAGUUGGUAAGGUAAUGGCUUACCAAGGCAACGAUGAGUAGCCGACCUGAGAGGGUGGUCGGCCACACUGGAGCUGAGACACGGUCCAGGCUCCUACGAGAGGCAGCAGUAGCGAAUCUUACGCAGUGGGCGGAAGCCUGGCGGAGCAACGGCACGUGAGUGAUGAAGGUCUUCGGAUCGUAAAACUGUGUUAUUAGGGAAGAACAAAUGUGUAAGGAACUGAGCACGUCUUGACGGUACCUGAACAGAAAGCCACGGCUAACUACGUG